GCCUGGCCCGCCAGCAGGGGGCGCAGGCCGAGGGAGCCGCCGCCCUGGCGCGGUGCCGGGCGGAGCUGGCCCGACUGCGGGGGCUGCUGGAGGAGCGGGACCAGGCGCUGGCGGAGGCUGCCCGGGAGGCCGAGGAGAAGGACCGGGGGCUGCAGAGGUGCUGGCUGCAGCGCGGGGCCGGGGGCAUGAAGCAGACGCUGUGAGCAGAGGAGGAUCUGGGGUCUGGCGUGUGGGGCCGGCUCCGCCCCCCCCCAAGCUGGGACCGACGUGGGCGCUGCGGGGGGAUCCCGGCUCCUCCAG
Mauremys reevesii (Reeves's turtle) is the source of this 300-nucleotide long non-coding RNA. RefSeq lists it as uncharacterized. Lineage: Eukaryota; Metazoa; Chordata; Testudines; Geoemydidae. The record is from RefSeq and is a predicted model, not a curated record. The transcript has 3 exons.